Molecule: ribosomal RNA, 253 nt
Filed under: uncultured bacterium
Lineage: Bacteria
Description: partial 16S ribosomal RNA
Rfam family: Bacterial small subunit ribosomal RNA
Source: RNAcentral
UACGUAGGGUGCAAGCGUUAAUCGGAAUUACUGGGCGUAAAGCGUGCGCAGGCGGUUAUGCAAGACAGAUGUGAAAUCCCCGGGCUUAACCUGGGAACCGCAUUUGUGACUGCAUAGCUGGAGUACGGCAGAGGGGGAUGGAAUUCCGCGUGUAGCAGUGAAAUGCGUAGAUAUGCGGAGGAACACCGAUGGCGAAGGCAGUCCCCUGGGCCUGUACUGACGCUGAGGCGCGAAAGCGUGGGUAGCAAACGGG